UACGAAGGGGGCUAGCGUUGUUCGGAAUCACUGGGCGUAAAGCGCACGUAGGCGGAUCCUUAAGUCAGGGGUGAAAUCCCGAGGCUCAACCUCGGAACUGCCUUUGAUACUGAGGAUCUCGAGUCCGGGAGAGGUGAGUGGAACUGCGAGUGUAGAGGUGAAAUUCGUAGAUAUUCGCAAGAACACCAGUGGCGAAGGCGGCUCACUGGCCCGGUACUGACGCUGAGGUGCGAAAGCGUGGGGAGCAAACAGG
Molecule: ribosomal RNA, 253 nt
Filed under: uncultured bacterium
Lineage: Bacteria
Description: partial 16S ribosomal RNA
Rfam family: Bacterial small subunit ribosomal RNA
Source: RNAcentral